RNAcentral lists this transfer RNA (70 nucleotides) under bovine gut metagenome. It matches the Rfam family "tRNA". From Rfam's summary of the family: Transfer RNA (tRNA) molecules are approximately 80 nucleotides in length. Their secondary structure includes four short double-helical elements and three loops (D, anti-codon, and T loops). The record is from RNAcentral.
CCGAUAUAGCUCAGUUGGUAGAGCAGCUGAUUUGUAAUCAGCCGGUCGCCGGUUCGAGUCCGUCUAUCGG